GACGAAGGAUGCAAGCGUUAUCCGGAUUCAUUGGGUUUAAAGGGAGCGUAGGUGGUCUUAUAAGUCAGUGGUGAAAUCUCUGGGCUUAACCCAGAAAUUGCCAUUGAUACUGUAGGACUUGAGUAUAGUUGCCGUUGGCGGAAUAUGACAUGUAGUGGUGAAAUACAUAGAGAUGUCAUAGAACACCGAUUACGAAGGCAGCUAACGAAACUAUAACUGACACUGAGGCUCGAAAGUGCGGGGAUCAAACAGG
RNAcentral lists this ribosomal RNA (253 nucleotides) under uncultured bacterium. RNAcentral describes it as "partial 16S ribosomal RNA". It matches the Rfam family "Bacterial small subunit ribosomal RNA", at positions 524 to 776 of the family's 1533-position model. The record is from RNAcentral.